Salmo salar (Atlantic salmon) is the source of this 1073-nucleotide non-coding RNA. NCBI's taxonomy places the organism in Eukaryota, Metazoa, Chordata, Actinopteri, Salmoniformes, Salmonidae. The record is from RefSeq and is a predicted model, not a curated record.
CUCAGAAAAGCCAGCUGAUCCAAAAGAAAGUCCAGUCUACUCUGAGGUGAAGACAGGGAAAGUCACAGCAGCUGGACCUGUUGAUGUGACCUAUGCUGAGGUUGACCUCCAAAAGAAGACCAAAGCCAAGAAGAAGCGAGAAACAACAACCCCACCAGAGGCAGAUUCAGUCUAUUCUCAACUGAAGCCAGACACAACCCCAGGUCCUUGAGGGAGACGGAGGGACACACCAUCAGAGGAGAAGCAGGAUCAAUCUGGGAACAUGGGUUAUGCAUGCUCAACGCACGCAAGCACACACACAUGCAGGCAUGCUCACACACACACACAAAUAAAAACGCGCACGUACACACACACAUGCCCACGAACACACAAAUACAGAAAAAACACAUUCAUUUUUACAAGUGAACAUGUGCAGUAUUCCAAAAGCACUUGUGAUCUUAUGUUAGGUUAAUGUGAUCACAUGUGAUCUUAUGUUAAGUUAAUGUGAUAACGUGAUCUUAUGUGAAGUUAGUGUGAUAACAUGUGACAACAUAUGAAGCAACAUGUGAUGACAGAAACUGCACAUGUGAAAACGUGAUUUCACUUUACAUUCUCAUGUGUUUUUUCUGUGAGGACACACACACACACACAAUAACACCUUGUACAUUAAGGAUUUGUAUGUUAUUUUAAUUUAUCAGAUAAAUACAACCAAUAUAUUACAUUUAACCGUGUGUAUUACUGUAAAAGCUUAAAUAAAUGAUAUGGUGUAAUGAUAGAUCUUAUAAACAGCUACAGUAAUUCUAUCUGCUUUGUAUUGUGUAUUACUGUAACAGCUUAAAUAAAUGAUAUGGUGUAAUGAUGAUAGAUCUUAUAAACAGCUACAGUAAUUCUAUCUGCUUUGUAUUGUGUAUUGAAUUGUUGGGUUGUAAAUGUACUGAAAUGUAUUAUCAUUGAUUCAUUAUUUCUGUCAUUCAGAUGAUAGAAUAACAUAUUUUCUAUAUGAAUGUCACAUAUACAUGUUCGCUUCUAAUGAUCUGUACUUUUACAAUAUCUUUGCAUCAUGCUUUUUUAUUAAACUUUAAUUUUUUUAUCCA